GUCACCUCUGGGGUGCCUCCCAUGUCAGGUCAGCUUUUAGAGCUAUGGAGGGAGGAGGCCCCAGAGCACCCAGGCCUUGCCCGUCACAGGGAGAACCCCUGAUUCCUUCUUGGUAUCACUGUAUCUUUGUUCUCCAGGGAACCCAACCUGUUCUCCAGCCCCUCAGGCAGCACCGGCAGCUCCUGGCAAGGUCCCAGGGCCCUCUGCACCUGCUGUGGCUCACGUCCCCUACAAUGGCUACCGAGAAGAGCCAAGUUACCCCAGGCCUGUGCAGGACACACAGCCACCAAAGUCCCCAGGAGAGGUAUGUCCUCAGGGUUCACCCCAGGCUGCCUGUUUUUAUGUUCUUGUCUGCUCACUUCUGUGCCCCCACCUCCAGCCUCUUGGAAGUCUUUGCCUGCCUCCCACAAGUCAUGCCUGAUCUCUGUUAAGGACCCCAGGCUCCUUCAGUGGGGACCUGCUUCAGCCCAGCUCCCAGACUACUGACAAGGUCUGAGGCAGCCCCCAGCACUGUCAUCAAACAGCUUGGGAGGCCACGCUUUACCACGUGGUCAUGCGAGAUGUUGAGCUGGGUGGAAGAACCUGGGAGUGACCAGACUGGGGAGUAGGGUGAGGGAACUGGAGGUCUCGGGUGGCUGGAGGGGCUGUAAUUAUCACAGUAAAGUUAAGUGUAGAGAAAAGAUGACAAAUUAUAUGGAGAUAUGAUAAGUGGGCUGUGGGGUAUCAGGAGACACCAAACUGUGGACCUGAAACCACAGGGUUUGUGUAGAAACCCCUGAAGAAAGUGCUGUGUGCAGUGGAGACCUCCACAUGGCCAGACAGAUGGAUAGGGACCCCCAUAGGACAGUGUGUGUGUGUGUGUGUGUGUGUGUGUGUGUGUUUUAAAGUCCUGAGGACUGAACCCAGGGUCUCGUGCAUGCUAGGCAAGUGCUCUACCACUGAGGUAUACCCCCAGUUCCCUGGGGUGUUUUCUUUGAGCCCAUCAGUGUCCAGUUCCCAGAUGUAAGAUCAUCUGUGGACAGAGGGUCUGGCAAUGACCAGAAAUAAGAAAAGAGCUCCUUUAGAAGUUGUCCUUAGCUGGGCACAAUGGCGAAUGCCUAUAAUACUAGUGACUCAGGAGGCUGAGGCAGGAAGAUUGCAAGUUUGAGGCCAGCCUAAGCAACUUAGCAAGGCCCAGAGCAACUUAGCAAGACCCUGUCUCAAAAUAAAAAACAAAAAGGGCUGGGAUGUAGUUCAGUGGUAAAGCACUCCUGGAUUCAAUCCUUAAUACCCCCAUUACCACCACCAAAAAAAAAAAAAAAAAAGGAGAUGCCCCAGGAACAUCAGCUGUUCUUUGCCAGCUCUUGUCAGCCAUUUCUCUCUCUCUCAGAGUUCAGAGCCAGCCCCACAGAUACCCAGUUCCAGGGGAGUCCUGAGGAGACCUGCUGGCUCCUUGGAGCCCUCCUCUAACCCAACAUCCCUCAGCCUUCCGACUUCCAGCAGGCAUCAGGAGCAGGAUCGAGAACUGGGUGGUACCCACAUAGCAGGUAUGCAUGGGAUAUGAUGUUGGAGGGCCUGUUUGACCUCCCAAGUGAAGGUUAGGAUUAGAGUUGCCCCUUGGGCUUCCUUGAACAGGAGCAAAGUGGGAAUAAAGUGCAUUUACCCCAGGUACCAAACCAGUUCCUCAGUGAGUGUAUCAGUUAGUAUUUGCUGUGUAACAAACAGUCUAAAAAACAUUAUUAUAAGUAGAUUAAAAUACAAGCGUUUAUUUAGCACACAGCUGACCCAGCUAAACAGUUCUUCUGGUCUUGGCUGAAUUUCCUCUCCUGAACUCACUGAUACAUAUACUUAUUCUGCUUCUGACUUAUUGGAUGGGGCACCUUUAUUCCCUUCCAUGGGGUUUCAUAUCCUCUAGCACACAGGCCUUUCCCAUGGCAACUGGACAGAGACCUCUAAGUGAAGAAGAAAGGACUCUUGAGGCAUAGACUCCAAACUGGCACAGUGUCCUUCCUUCUUCACUCUGUGGGCCUAAGCAAGUUAUAAAGGACAGCCCAGAUUCAUGAGAAAUUGACUCCAUUCUUAGAUGGGAGGCCUAUAGAUUAGCCAGGACCUGGAGGAUGGGGAAAGACAGUACAAAGCUGGUCUGGCUAUUGGCAGAGGAGCCCUUCAGUACUGCCCUACUACCAAGGGGUGUCCAGUUCCCAGAAAGUCACUAAAAUAUCUCAACCCCCAGAGGAAGCAUGUCUAUCAUCAGCCAGGUGCCUGGACACUACACCAGAUCUCAGUACUCCCCCUCAAGGCUGUGUAGCUGACCACCCUGACCUGGCGUGUCUUUCUACUACUUCCCAAACUGUAUUCCAUAUGACACUUGUGCCUGGCCUGCCCUCAGUACCCUGGAACAGCCACAAGGCACAGGGAUAUUUAAAAGUUAGGAGAAACCAUCUUGUGCCCUCCACUCUUGUCACCCCCAAAUAGUCCUGAGCACCUGUUUGCACUUUACAGUGUUAUUUUGUCAUGGAAUGCCUUUUAGGAGGUGCUUCUAUGAACCAUGAAGGCAAAGGCACCUGAUUUCAGUGCAUUGAUGGACACAGGUUCCACGAGAGUCUGUGGUACUGCAUUUAGGGGAGGGGACAUGAGACAUCACUUCUUUUUUAGAAUUUGGGGGGUUUUAGAUAUACAUGACAGUAAAGUGUAUUUUGACAUAUUAUACAUGCAUGGAGCGUAACUUAUUCUAAUUGGGAUCCCCAUUCUUUUUUUUUUUCUUCCUAUACUGGGAAUUGAACUCAGAGGCACUCAACCCCUAAGCCACAUCCCCAGACCUAUUCUGUAUUUUAUUUAGAGACAGGGUCUCACUGAGUUGCUUAGCACCUUGUCAUUGCUGAGGCUGGCUUUGAACUCGUGAUCCUCCUGUUUCAGUUUCCUGAGCUGCUGGGAUUACAAGCAUGUGCCACCACGCCCAGCUUGGGAUCCCAUUCUUGUGGUUGUACAUGAUGUGGAGUUUCAGGCAUCACUUCUGACCUUUGUCAACCUUGGGGUCUGGUGUGUGCAUCCUUAGAGUUCCUGAUGACACUGCCUCUAUGGGCUGUCACCCUGUGUCAGGUCCUCUUCCUAGGGUGGCUUUGCCUUACUCCUGGGAACUGGCCAGCCUCUGGUACCACUUGACUGGUGUGAGCAGUUCUGCUUGAGCCACCCUGCUGUCCCUUGCCCUGAUCCAGUGUUGCUCCUGCUGGGGAGUGUGGGGGACAGCAGUGAGGGGAACAUCUAGGAUUCCACUAGCUAGAGAGAGAAAAAAAGCAGAAACAGGACAGGGAGGUGUUCUGGGUGGGAGAAACAGAAGCAGAAAGAAUAGCCAAUAAUGAUCUUUAAGCUCCUGGAUGCAGUUAGUGGGAAGGAUGACAUCGGUCUUGUGAUAGGACAGACUUGGGGAUAUAGGUCAAGGACUGCAGGCAACAGUUGAGUCUCAGGUCUGAGAGCGAUGACCAAAGGGACUAUAGUCUUCUCCAUGCACAGGUGAUUGGGAGGCAUGUUGCAAUAGGGCUAAUGUGAUUUGAGACACAGGGACCUUUCCCAACCCCUGAGGGUGACAGUCCUUUGGGUUUAUGCUUCUACUUUUGCUACCUGCAGGUGCAGUUUGCAGCUCCAUAUCAGCCCGUGGGCCUGUGUCCCCGACUGUCUCCUUCCAGCCCCUGGCCCGUUCCACCCCCAGGAAAAGCCACUUGCCUGGACCUGCAGUGUCAGCUCCUGCAUCUGCUGGUCCCUCCUCCAUUGCCUUGGCUUCUGUAGAGGAGAUUGGUGACCAUAAUAAGACUGCCAUCUGCUCUAGUGAUGCAGAGGUACCUGCUGAUUCAACAACUACCAGCUUACUGCCCUCCAAAGCGCCUGCCAACUCGGCCCUUGUCGGCUUGGGGCCCUCCAAGUUGCCUACCAGCACAAAGCCCCCUGGUGCAAUGCCCCCUAAAGUGCCCUCCAACCCAGCACCAUCCAAGUUGCCCAUCAACUCAACACGUGCUAGCGCCAUGCCAUCCAAAGUGCCUACUGCUACCAUGAUUCCCACCAAGGUGCCUACCAACACAAUGCCCUCCAACGGGAGCAAAGCCAAGGUGAGUCCUGGCCCCUCUUAGCAGUGCCUCAGGCCCCUUCCCUUUGGGCCCUGUCCUUGGACCCUUCCCAGUCUCCAUCCUGUCUCUAGCCUGGGCAAGUCCAUGACCUCUCCUUAAAGCUGUGGGGACAAGCUGGCAACCUGCCUCAUCCUCUAGGAGGAAUGACUGUCACGAAAACCCCUAAGUAUCAUUGCCUCAAGAGAGUCAGGCAUGGGGCCACCCUACUGGUCAUGUGCUUUAACUCACUGGGACUCAGCCUCCAGUUAAGCUUAGCAACACUGAUCUGUUGAUGAGGAAGCAGUGAGGGGUGGAGCAUGGUGGCCCACUUGCCUUCAUGCCUUGCCGUUUACCACCAGUAUGUCUGGCCUGCCUGUGACCAGGCUUUCCAAACAGCAAUUUCUGGCCAGCCAGCCUGGAGCAGCUGCUCUGACCCAUUAGCCCCCAUAGCUGCCCUCUCCAAAGCCUCGCAUCUAACCCUACUGCUGUUGUCUGCCUCGAGGAAGCAAGUUCCUGAGGCUCCAGGACACUGUAGCUGCCCUGUGAUCCUAAGGCCUCAGCAGUAGGGGCUUGCUGUCAAGGGCUUCCCUGGCAGACCAGUGAGUGGGGAGAGGGCUGCAAUGAGGCCAUCAAUGAAAUGAUACUACAAAGCCUUGGUGCCUUCUUCCCCUUCUGUCCUCUUCCCCACCAAUGGUCGGGUCUCCAAGCGAUGGUGUCUUGCAAGCCAGGAUAUAGGAUGGGAACUGAGAAGUUUGGGCUUGGGCUACUAGUUCAUGCCCUGACUCGAGAACAGGGCCACCCACUUUGUCUGGCUUAUCUCCCUCCCAUACCCAUCCCCUUCCAGCACUUUCCUUUCUUUCCCAGGAGACCCCAGGGACUCCAGCAACCACAGUCACCAUUGAAGGCAGCUCUCCUUGGAGGGGUAGCAGCUCUGGGAACUUGCGCUCUGAGGCCGAGCUGAGCAAGCCUGGUACCCUGGUAUCGAGGGUCGAUAGCCAGCCAUUUUCCGGCUGUUCUGAAGAUCUCGCUAUCAGCAAUUCUCUGGUCCUGGAGUCCAGCCAAGGCCCAGAGGAAAAUGAGUACAUGUCCUUUGCUAUCCAUGUGGCUGAGGGUCCCAGUGCUGACCUCCUGGAUGGCAGCCCUGAACGACCUGAGGCCUCAGAGCCCCAGGAGGAGGAAGAGGAGGAGAUGUGCUCAACAGCACCAGGGGCUCUGUGGUGGCUGGGGACUGCCGCAGCCAGCGCGCUCCUGGCGGUGCUCCUGGUAGUGCUGUACCGGCGGCGCCCACUGCAGUGAAACCUCCAAUGCCCACCACGUUCCCAUGGUGCCCUUUCCCCAGGCUGGCAGGGGCCGGGUCAAGCAGGGGACCUCGAGAACUAUGGGCCUGAUGGAGGAGUGAGUUGUGAGGACAGCGUUUUCUGUCCUAGCUCUUGUCCUCUGCUUGUCCCUCACCAUCCUUGGCUUUCCAGGCUCUAAGCGGCCCCCAGUGCUUCAGACCUUGCCUACCUGGUAGUCUCCCUGUGUGCUCCUAAGGAGGUCCCCUCCACCAGGCUUUGUCCCCCUUUGCCCAAGCCUGAAGAUCAGGAGAUGCCCCUCAUUCUGCCCAGGUCCCCUGAGGCCAAAACAGGUGUUCUGGGUGGGGAAUUCCCACAAGACCUUGUUCCCCGCCCAGCAGCUCAGCAUCCUGACAGCAGCAAGGUGCCUAGUAUUCAGGGAGCCAGCUGCUUUGGGUUCCCUGUCUCUCUAGUCCCCCUCUAUUGGCCAGGCCACCCUGGAAGAAGGUCCAGUUCCAGUGGACCCAGGGAAGCCAGAAGCAGCCACUAGACAGGAGGAAGACCCUUGGAGCCUUUCUCCAGUCCCCUUACCUCCACCUCUGUCCUCCAUUCUCUUUGGCUUCCUACAUGGGUUGGGGAAGGGACCUGCCUAGUGGUCAGAAUUCAAGCCAGGUUCAGAUUUCAGCUCUUCCCUUUCUGGGCUGUGUGACUUUGGCAGAUGUUCAGGCUCUCUGGUCUGGUUUCCCCACGUGGACAGUGAGCUUCUAGCUCAUCCUUCAUGGACAUGGCAUACAGGAUACGGCAUCCCUCCUGUCUAACCUGGUAGAGCUGAGGGCUUGAGAGGCAGAGUGCACAGCAACAAGGGUGCGCUGUGCAGUGAGGGCAGGCUCGGGCUGUAUCCUGCUCAUCAUCUCACUAGCUCUUUAAUCCCAGGCAAGAUAUUAACCUCUGUGUGCCUCACUUUUCUCACCUGUUAAAUGGGAGUGAAAUGUCUACACACACACACACAUACACAUAUGUAUGUACGUGUGUGUAUAUUCUAGUGUUGUCCUGGGGAUUAAAUUAGUUUAUCUAUGUAAAUCUUAGACUGAAUCCUGUCAUUUCCUAAGGACUGGAUACAUGUUAUUAUUGCUAAUUAAAUGGGCAGUGAGUAGAGCACUUGGCUAUACCUUUAGAGGUAAACCCAGACCCUGCUACCUUCUCCUUUCUUAUAUCUUCCUCUUAACUUCAUCUAGUACAUUUGCGAGUUGUUGGGGAGGGAGGUCUAUCCAGUGGGCAGCUGUUCUCCCCAUCUCCAGCAGCCAGGGGUGUUCCACCACCUCCCUGGGUGGGAAGAUAGCUAUUCUCUUCACACAUUGAGGUGCACUGGUGGGUAUCCUCUUGGGUUCUUUUCAGGUGGCCUUUGCUGGACAAGUGGUAGGCACAGGAGCCUUCUCUAUUUCUGGGCUCUUCAAGGGGCAAGAACUAGAGCCCUUGGAGAAAUCAGGGGUGUGGCUUGUUAUGUAAAGCUCGAGGCAGCUUUACCCUACACCGCCCUAGGGAACUUCCGCAACCUAAUGACCUCUACUUCUGAAUUUCAGCCCCCACUCUAAACCCAACAGCCUCUAACUUGAAUCCAGGUGUGGUCUGUCCCCAAGCUAUCUAUACCAGUACUUAUCAAUCCCUUGCUCUUAACCAACCACUGUAUCCCCCACCUGUAUCCCCAGGUGCCAGCCAGUCAGUUUGUGCACAGUCCUAGUUUUAAUGUGCUAGCCUCCCAGGGUACUUUGGGGAAAAAAAAACAAAAAAAACUCACUGGGUGGAGUGGCCCAUGCCUGUAAUCCCAGCAGUUCAGGAGGACCAAAUGUUCAAGGCCAGCCUCAGCAAUUUAGGGAGAACCUAAAUAACUUAGCAAGGCCCCAUCUUUUUAAAGAAUUAAAAAGGGCAUAAAAGGAGACAUAAAACUGGAAUGUAGUUCAGUAGUGAAGCACCUCUGGAUUCAAUCUCCAGCACCCCCUGAAAAGAAAAAAAAAAAAAAUUGGCUCAAGAAGGCAACACGUAGUCCCAGAGAAUCACUCACUCAACUGGGGGAUUUCUUUUUGUUGGUGGUGGUGCCAGGGAUUGAACUCAGGGGUGCUUAACCACUGAGCCACAUCCUCAGCUCUUUUUAUUUUUUUAUUUUGAGACAGGGUCUCCCUAAAUUGCUUAGGGCCUGUUAAGUUGCUGAGGCUGGCUUUGAACUUAAUAUCCACCUGCUUUGGCCUCCUGAGCCACUGGGAUUAUAAGUGCACCACUGUGCCCAGUCAACUGGUACAAUUUCAACUACAGAAACCAGUCACUGUAGGCGAUAUAUUGGAUCAGGUGUGUGGGAAGUGUUCAGGGCCUUCCCAGCACAUUUCAGACUAUACCGCCUCAAAUCCCUGACUUGGCCUGCACUUAACACUAUCCCCAUCUCAGCUAUUAUCAAUCUGAAGACUUAAAUGCCACCUUCAGGCAGAAAUGGGAAUUAGAGUCCAGUCUCAAGAAUCCUGUUCUGGGUUGUGACUUUCAGCUGCAGGAAGGUUUACAAAGGAGUGUGAACUAGGAAGUUCACCUUCACAGCUGUGGCCCAGACAAGGUAGAGGCUGGAACACAAGGAAGGGAGGAAGGACCUCCACUCGCAGACGGGACUAGGGGACCCUUGAGGUCAAGGCUGGGUAGUCCUGGAGGGACCAAUGCCCUCCUAAGUGCCCGGGGGCAGACCCACCUGCAGCAGAACCUCUGUCCACGUUCUUUCCCUGGCUGAAGCAUUUCCUCAAAGCUCUGGGACUGUUGUGGUUUCUGUCUCUCAGGGAAGUACCCAUGGACUUUAACCUAACAAAGCCAGAACAGUGCCACUCCUUCACUUCUCUUGCUGGCUACCCUCAGGUUUAGGGAGCUUCUUAGUCAAGGAUGAGGGAGAUGCCCUUUACCCUGCCAGGUCUCAGAUUAUUAAUACCGUCUUUUAGAAAACAUUUAUUAUGGCCAGCUUUCAGACAAAUGCAAAAGUAGAGAGACCAGAAUAACACACUGCCCAUCUCCUGGCUUUAAUAUCUUGGCCAUCUUAUUCAUCCCUGCCUGUUGCCCCCUUCCUUCCUCUUUUCUUUGGUAUGGGGGGGGCAUUGAUUUCAGGGGCACUUUACCACUGAGCUACAUCCCUAGACCUUUUUAUUUUUUAUUUCAGGGUCUCACUGAGUUGCUCAGGCUGGCUUUGAAUUUGCCAUCCUCCUGUCUGCUCCUUCCAAAUUGCUGCAAUUACAUCUAUGCACCAAUGCACCCGGCUGCCCCCUUUUUUGAGUACAGGUUCUUUGUAUAAGAGUGUGAAGGGUUCAGAAAGCCAAGGGAAAGACAUAAGCUGGAAGGAUUUUAAGAUCAUCUAUUUUCUCCCAGGGCAGCAUUAGGUAACAAUGAAGCAUCCACGUUGUGGUCUGUUGGCCUCUAUAGGUGACGUCCUUCUUGAACCAGUUCAAAGCAUGAGCAGCACUGGACUCCAUCUUAGGAGGAGGGGACUGCAAGCGUCCUUCCAUUGUCAAGCUCCUUGGAGGUGCCUGCUAUUGCUCCUGUCUCAGAGAAGUGACAACACAUGAGACAUAUACCACAUGGCACAGCCCUUCCAACCAGCAGAAGUCCUCAUGCUAGGCAAUGUUCAAAUUCCACAGUCCUAGGAAUGGAGUCCUUGGGCCUUGAGGUUCCACACUUGCCAUGGGUGCACUGUCAUGCGCCUAAAGGCCAAGACCCACUUCCCCCUGGGAAGGGAGAUGAGGGGUCUUUGGUCUGAAAUGUCUGUGCUGGGAUUGAUACCGCUCCACAGAGGAUAGUCACAUGCUCCUUGCUUUCUUAGUUUUUUUUUCCUUUAUCCCAGGGCUAAGAGGUCCACAGGGGGUUCUGGGUGUGGUCACUGUGAACAUUCUUCACUUGGCUGCUGCUAACAACAAAUAAUAAUAAAGGUCGCCACUAAUGUCUGAUUUUAAUUGCGUGCUAGACACUGUGCCAAGAGCUACACAUAUAUUAGUUCAUUUAAUCCUCACAAUGACCCUAGGAAAGAGACACCAUUAUGGAUCCAAUUUAUAGCUGGUUUACAAGACUGGGAGGGAAGAAAGACAAGAGGGACAAUGACUCCUAGGCCCCAGAGCUAGAUGCUUCUUACGUCUAUGAACUUCAACUCACCUGAUAUCUGGAACAAAGUAAACCAUUUAAAGUGAGAUCAUCACACCAUCACAUCACUGCCCAGUAUGCCAAAAUCUGCCACCUACUAUAAUAGUAUAGUAACACUAGGUCUAUAAUUAAAAUAAUCUCAGGGGUGUCCUAAUGAUACGAUUAUAAUCAUUUUGUGUGUGCCCAGGCUCAAAGCCCUGGGGCUGGGUGAGGUGAGGCUGGUGCCAUAAGAAAACUAGAAUGUUAGUCUUCAUGAAGCCAGUUCGAUUUAGCAGACAUCGUUUAAGAGUCAUUUGUGCCAGGUCCAAGGCCUCUGAGGGUGCCUUCGAGUGGUUGGGGGUGUUCAUAAUGUGUGAUACAGGCAAAAAGGCUUCCAUAUCAUUCUUUCAUAUAAUUUUACAGCAAAUAUUUAUUUUGUACCCACUGUGAGCUAAACAUUAUAAUAGGUCUUGAUGACAUAGAUAAUAAAGACCUCUCCCUAAAAGUCCUCUCCCACCCCCCACUGUCUCUAACCCAGUAGUAGUUCAAUGGAGUGUCUCUGGAGCAUGGCAGGGGCCAGUGAGGGGGAAGGACAAGUAUUGUUUUGAUCUGUUUUUGACUACUGAGAAUUAUAACUAAAUUUGGAGCGGGGCGAGAAACAGUAUGAGAGAUAACAUUAAAUAUUCAUGAAAAUGUGAAUAUGUUGGAGGAAUGUAGGUUGGUGUUAUGGCCUGAACAUAUAUGUCCCUGCAAAAUUCAUAAGUUGGAACCUAACCCCAAGGUGAUGGUAUUAGGAGGUGAGUCCUUUGGGAAGUGAUUAGGUCAUGAGGGCUCCACCUUCAGGAAUGGGAUUCAUGCCCCUAAGAGGACAGAGGGAGCUGGUAUGGUGGUGAACACAUGUAAUCCCAGCAACUUGGGAGGUUGAGGCAGGAGGAUCACAAAUUCGAGGCCAGCUUCAUCAACUUGGUGAGACCCCAUUUCAAAAUACAAAGUGCUAGGGAUAUUGCUCAGGGUAGAGCACUCCUGGGUUCGAUAACCAGUACUGGAAAAAGAGAGGGUGAAAGGCUUGAAAGCCCUCUGUUCCUUCCACCAUGUGAGGACAGAGAAGUCCAUAUGAGAAAGCAGCAACCAUAUCUUUGAAGCUGAGACUGGACCUUUAUUAGACACUGAAUUUGUUGGUGCCUUGAUCUUGUACUUCCAAAUCUCUAAAAUGGAAAUUUCAAUGAUUUCUAAAUUACCUAAUAAAAGGCAUCUUGUAAUAGCAGCUUGCAUGAACUAAGCCAGUUGGUGAUACCUUACUGGAAAACUGGCAGUUGUCUACUAGAGCCUAAUAUAGGCCUAAACCUGUGACCCAGCAAUUCCACUCCUGGGUGUGUUCACAACAGAAACAAGAGUGCAUGUCCACAAAGAUGUGUGCAAGAAUGCUUCUCAGAUGCUCAGGUCCCUUGUGCAGUAUUUGCACAUCUCUGCACAUUCUCCCAUAUAGUUCAAAACAUCUUGAAAUUGCUGAGCAAAUGACACUCGCCUGUAAUGCCAGUGACUUGGGAGGCUGAUGCAAGAGAAUGGCAAGUUCAAGGCCAGUCUCAGCAAUUUAGUGAUGUCCUAAGCAACUCAUCUCAAAAAAUAAAAAGGGCUGGGGAUGUAGCUCAGUGGCAAAGAGCCUCUGGAUUCAAUCCCUAGACUCCCCCCCCCACCAAAAACAAACAAACAAACAAAAACUUCUAACCAUCACACUGAUCACACUGUCCAUAAUAUCUCCAAAAUAAGAAAAACCCAAAUUGUCUAUCCUCAGGAAAAUGGAUGUUGUAAUAAAGUCACACAGUAGAAUACUAUUAUAUAAAUGAAGACAUUGCAACAUAGAACAUGGAUGAAUCUCCUGGACCUGAUGCUGAGCCAGAGUUAGUGUACACCAAAAAGCAAAUUUUAUUUAUCUUAAAUAAACAAAGCUGAUUUAUGAUGUUAAAAGUCAGGAGAAAGAUGAACUCUGGUAGGGAUGUAGCUGGGAAGAAACAUUCUGGGGUGUUGGUCUACCUCCUGAUCCAUGUGUUGAUUUCAUGAGUAUUUUUAGUUUGUGUCCAGUACCCUGUGGGAGAUGUGAAAGUUGGGGAUGGGGAUAUGGCUCGAGCGGUAACACACUCGCCUGGCAUGCGCCGGGUGCUUGGUUUGAUCCUCAGCACCACAUAAAAAUAAAAUAAAGAUGUUGUGUCCACUGAAAACUGAAAAAUAAAUAUUAAAAAUAAUUCUCUCUCUCUCUCCUCUCUCUUAAAAAAAUAAAGAAAAUAAACAAAGAUCCUCCAAAUGAGGACUAAAAGCCAUUUAAUCAGAGCUUGAGAGGCAGUCAGCCAUCAUAAUUUGCAUGUGACAGGGACUCUAAGGCAGGCAGGGAUGCGAAACUCCAUAGUAGGAAAAAGGGAAGGUUCAGGUGUGCCGUGAUUGGAUGAUGUUGGUCUUGAGCUGUAAGAGGUGGAGAGGUGGUUGGAGGUUGGGAAGGAACGGUGAUCAUUAGCUAAAUUCUCCACCCCACCCCCAUACUGGGCAUUGAACCCAGGGGCACUUCAUACUGAGCUAUAUCCACAUUCUUUUUAUUUUUUUUUAUGUUGACGCAGGGUCUAAGUUGCUGAGGCUGGUUUUAAAUUUGCUUGCGAUCCUUUUGCCUCAGCUCUCGAAUUGCUUGGAUUACAAGUGUGUGCCACUGUGCCCAGCUCACUGGCCAAGUUUUGACUGUUCUGAGCUCAUUGCUGCACAGAUGGAAGUUUGGCUUCUGGGGCUUCCCAGGCUGCUUGCUACAAGAGUUUUAUUCACAUCCAAAUUCCUUUAUCAUAUAUAGUCAGUCAUUUUCUAUUUGCAUAUUCAGUCUCUCAGAGGGAAGGGCACGGGCUUUGAGGGAGCUGCCAUGCAGCACUGAUGGGAGGCACAUUCGCACUUCCUCCAGCUUCCCAUCCAUGUCUGGGGUCAGAGGUGCCUGCCUGUGUGAGGGAGUCCAUGGCCGGGGGGCUCUGCUCCCAGCUGUGGUGCAGCUGCUACACCAACCAAGGUUCUCUUUUUUUCUUCAAGGCUGGCUUUUUAAAGCUCAACCCCUACAGAAAGGUUUCUUUGAUUAGAUCCCUCUGGUUUUAAUAAGUGGGCUUCUUAAAUUCCCAUGGCUCACCUCAAACCCUGCUUUUAUGUGUAAAUUCUGACCUCCUUGCCUACAUUUUAAAAAACAUAAACCAGGCACCCUGGUGAUGCAGGCCUGUAAUCUCAGUGACUCUGAGGAGGACUGCGCAGGCUCAAGGCCAGGCUCAGCAAUUUAGCUAGAUUGUGUCUCAAAAUAAAAAGGGGCUGGGGAUGUGGGGAUAUAGAUCAGUGGUAGAGCACUCUUGGGUUCAAUCAUCAAUAUUGCAAAACAACAACAACAAAAUCCUAUACUGAUUACUUUUAAUUACUUUCUCAGUGAGUUUCUUCUUCCCCCGCCACUCAGCUACAUACCAGCCCUCACUUUUUUUUUUACUUUUUUAUUUUUGAGACAGGGUCUUACUAAGUUAUUUAGGGCCUUGCUAGGUUGCUGAGAUUGGCCUUGAACUUGUGAUCCUCCUGCCUCAGCCUUCCAAAUCACUGGGAUUACAGGCCUGGGCAACUGCACUGGGUUGAUUUAUCUCUUUCUUUCUCUCUCACUCUCUCUUUCUUUCCUCCCUCCCCUUUUUCUUUCCUUCUUUCCUUCUUCUCUUUUUGUGAUGUCAGGGAUUGAACAUAAGGUUUGUGCGUGUUAGGCAAAUGCUCUUCCCAGUGAUGGUUUGUGUGUGGUAUGUAACUGGGGAGAGAACCCUGGGGUGUUCUACCAUGUCCUGUGAAGGACAUGAAGAAUAAAUUCCAGGGUGUUAGAUAUGAAAAAUGACAACCCCCAUAAUACUGUGGCCUGGGAAGAGGGCAUGAGGAAGAAGGCAACACAUUGAUAACAUUGAUCCUUUCCCAAUACAUUCUUUCCCAGUGACAAGACAAGCCCUGGGGAGGAGAUAUCCAUCAAGCCUAGAAUGAUGGUCUCUAAUAAAUCCUUUCUAGAUACUGACUGUUGACCCCCGACCCUCCAUCUUGCCCAGUAAAAACAGAUCUCAAAUUCCUGGGUGCCCAAAUUGACACGCUAACUAAUCAAGUCACUUCUCAGUAUAACCUAUAACAGACUCCCCCUUUGGCUAGUGGCUCAUUUUCCGUUAGGAAAGUGGGUCUAUCAUAGGCACGACUUUAUUGCUGAAUAAAGGCUGUGCUGAUCCAUGAAGUUUGCACCCGGCUCGUUCCUUUUGGAGCUAACAUUUUGGUUCCCUGAUCAGGAAAUGGGAGAAAGGGUAAUAUUUUGUUCUUCCCUGUACCCCCAAAACCCAUUCCCUCCCCCCACAGUCAAAGUUAACCAACUAAUGAGGCCCUGAAAGUGACCACUGAACAUCUGGCACUUCCAUGGCUUUCUGAAAGUCAGGGGGACCUCCAAGCUGUGGCUCAUAGGAGCUACAGCUGAAUGCCCAAACUGACUGUGUCCCCCCAACUCUGUAGAACAUAGGCCCUUCACGCCCUUUGCAGUCCACUUUAGCUAAGCAACUGCCAGCUUUUUUGCGGGAGAAAUUUGGUGCUUGGGACAGAGGAGGGCUUAAGGCAGCUGGCCGGGGCCACUCUCUGGUGCUGCACAAAGGUCUUAUGUCUCAAAUCUGGUCCCGACAGCCCUCAGGGGUACCAAAUAUCGACCACCUGCUAGAUUUUUGUGGCUUUAUGCCACAAGAACAAUGCAAGAUUUGUAUCAAGUCCUUUAUUGGCAUUGAAGGUGUCCUGUUUCUACUUCCUCCCCUCCCCAAUCUUCCCUUCCCUUACACACCCAGCAAACCUCAGGGAUCUGAGAUCUCUUUGCCAUUUUGUUCCUGCAUCCAACACCAGCUUUUAAAUUCUCCAGAGAGGUAAGACUCAGUCCAGCUGGUCUCCAGCAGAUAGGUACCCGCCCUUUAGCUAGCUAGGACCCAGGGGGUCCCCUACCAGUGAGAUUGGUGUAAAGAUGUUUCCCUAGUCCCCAGUGGGAGAAGUCCACUCUGAUGACUGGCACACCUCUGACAUAAGAGUUCAGAGGACGCUUUGCUUUCAGUCGUCACUUCUGUCCAGCCUCUCCAAAUAUGGAAGUCAUUCGGUCAGUUCCCAGAGACAACCUCUUGGGCUGUCUCUUUAUCAAUGUUAUGACCCUCUACUCCCAAACUGACCUCAAAAUUGAACACCUCAUUAGACUCAGCACUCAGAUUUGGCCACAGUACAAAUUAGAUAAUCAGUGCCCAUGGCCCAAGUACAAAACUCUUUUUUUUUUUUUUAAUAUUUAUUUAUUUAUUUUUCGGUGGACACAACAUCUUUGUUUGUAUGUGGUGCUCAGGAUCGAACCUGGGCCGCACGCAUGCCAGGCGAGCGCGCUACCACUUGAGCCACAUCUCCAGCCCCAAGUACAAAACUCUUGAUAAAGAAAUUCUCCAGGCUUUGCAAAAAUAUUUAAUACAGAUUGGCAGGUGGUUUGAGGUUCCAUACCUUCAACCUUUCUUUUUCCUUCACUCAAUUACCAAAUAUACCACCCUAGACUUUCAUACUGCUGCUGAUACUCUCUUUCUCCCUAUGCAAUUUAUCAGCGGGUCUGCAUCUGAUACCCAUAAAAAAACAGAGAAGGGCGCCAAGGCUUCCCAGAAUCAAUUUCUAGAUCCUGCUUUUAAGACCUUUAACAAUAGGGAAGAUGAGGCCAAACAGGAGAAAGAAAAACAUCUUAAAACUAAAUAUCAGCUCCUAGCCUCAGCCAUCCAUCGCCCUAAAAAAAGCCAUUGCUACUCACGGCCCCUCCAGACCCUCUAAUAUACCUUUGGGCCCCAUUUCUGAUGUGGAUGGACUGGACCUUGGACAAAAACCCAAGGCUGCUCACCAAGCCANUCUGAAACGUCUGUGCUGGGAUUGAUACCGCUCCACAGAGGAUAGUCACAUGCUCCUUGCUUUCUUAGUUUUUUUUCCUUUAUCCCAGGGCUAAGAGGUCCACAGGGGGUUCUGGGUGUGGUCACUGUGAACAUUCUUCACUUGGCUGCUGCUAACAACAAAUAAUAAUAAAGGUCGCCACUAAUGUCUGAUUUUAAUUGCGUGCUAGACACUGUGCCAAGAGCUACACAUAUAUUAGUUCAUUUAAUCCUCACAAUGACCCUAGGAAAGAGACACCAUUAUGGAUCCAAUUUAUAGCUGGUUUACAAGACUGGGAGGGAAGAAAGACAAGAGGGACAAUGACUCCUAGGCCCCAGAGCUAGAUGCUUCUUACGUCUAUGAACUUCAACUCACCUGAUAUCUGGAACAAAGUAAACCAUUUAAAGUGAGAUCAUCACACCAUCACAUCACUGCCCAGUAUGCCAAAAUCUGCCACCUACUAUAAUAGUAUAGUAACACUAGGUCUAUAAUUAAAAUAAUCUCAGGGGUGUCCUAAUGAUACGAUUAUAAUCAUUUUGUGUGUGCCCAGGCUCAAAGCCCUGGGGCUGGGUGAGGUGAGGCUGGUGCCAUAAGAAAACUAGAAUGUUAGUCUUCAUGAAGCCAGUUCGAUUUAGCAGACAUCGUUUAAGAGUCAUUUGUGCCAGGUCCAAGGCCUCUGAGGGUGCCUUCGAGUGGUUGGGGGUGUUCAUAAUGUGUGAUACAGGCAAAAAGGCUUCCAUAUCAUUCUUUCAUAUAAUUUUACAGCAAAUAUUUAUUUUGUACCCACUGUGAGCUAAACAUUAUAAUAGGUCUUGAUGACAUAGAUAAUAAAGACCUCUCCCUAAAAGUCCUCUCCCACCCCCCACUGUCUCUAACCCAGUAGUAGUUCAAUGGAGUGUCUCUGGAGCAUGGCAGGGGCCAGUGAGGGGGAAGGACAAGUAUUGUUUUGAUCUGUUUUUGACUACUGAGAAUUAUAACUAAAUUUGGAGCGGGGCGAGAAACAGUAUGAGAGAUAACAUUAAAUAUUCAUGAAAAUGUGAAUAUGUUGGAGGAAUGUAGGUUGGUGUUAUGGCCUGAACAUAUAUGUCCCUGCAAAAUUCAUAAGUUGGAGGAGAGUCCUUUGGGAAGUGAUUAGGUCAUGAGGGCUCCACCUUCAGGAAUGGGAUUCAUGCCCCUAAGAGGACAGAGGGAGCUGGUAUGGUGGUGAACACAUGUAAUCCCAGCAACUUGGGAGGUUGAGGCAGGAGGAUCACAAAUUCGAGGCCAGCUUCAUCAACUUGGUGAGACCCCAUUUCAAAAUACAAAGUGCUAGGGAUAUUGCUCAGGGUAGAGCACUCCUGGGUUUGAUAACCAGUACUGGAAAAAGAGAGGGUGAAAGGCUUGAAAGCCCUCUGUUCCUUCCACCAUGUGAGGACAGAGAAGUCCAUAUGAGAAAGCAGCAACCAUAUCUUUGAAGCUGAGACUGGACCUUUAUUAGACACUGAAUUUGUUGGUGCCUUGAUCUUGUACUUCCAAAUCUCUAAAAUGGAAAUUUCAAUGAUUUCUAAAUUACCUAAUAAAAGGCAUCUUGUAAUAGCAGCUUGCAUGAACUAAGCCAGUUGGUGAUACCUUACUGGAAAACUGGCAGUUGUCUACUAGAGCCUAAUAUAGGCCUAAACCUGUGACCCAGCAAUUCCACUCCUGGGUGUGUUCACAACAGAAACAAGAGUGCAUGUCCACAAAGAUGUGUGCAAGAAUGCUUCUCAGAUGCUCAGGUCCCUUGUGCAGUAUUUGCACAUCUCUGCACAUUCUCCCAUAUAGUUCAAAACAUCUUGAAAUUGCUGAGCAAAUGACACUCGCCUGUAAUGCCAGUGACUUGGGAGGCUGAUGCAAGAGAAUGGCAAGUUCAAGGCCAGUCUCAGCAAUUUAGUGAUGUCCUAAGCAACUCAU
This 17341-nucleotide long non-coding RNA is filed under the name Marmota monax (woodchuck). Lineage: Eukaryota; Metazoa; Chordata; Mammalia; Rodentia; Sciuridae. The record is from RNAcentral.